GCGGACGUGGUGGAAUUGGUAGACACACAGGACUUAAAAUCCUGAGGCCUAACAGCCGUGAGGGUUCGAGUCCCUCCGUCCGCACCA
RNAcentral lists this transfer RNA (87 nucleotides) under bacterium MnTg02. Its description in RNAcentral is "tRNA-Leu". It matches the Rfam family "tRNA". From Rfam's summary of the family: Transfer RNA (tRNA) molecules are approximately 80 nucleotides in length. Their secondary structure includes four short double-helical elements and three loops (D, anti-codon, and T loops). RNAcentral also lists the same sequence under 1 other name. The record is from RNAcentral.